CCUAAUUAUAUUUUAGGAGUGACGGGCGAUAUGUGCAUAUAGACUGAGCUUUUCUAAUUUAAUUAUUUUUCUAAUUUUUAAUUUUAAGUCCUUCUUUUUCACUUUAUGGAGUGUUUUAGAUUCUAUUGUGUCGCAGUUUUUUCUUUACUAUUUUCUUUGUCUUGAUUUGUAUUAUGCUUUUUAAAUUGUUAGAAGGAUAUUAAUUUAUUCUUCUUCAUACAAUGAUAUGAAAGAUUAUAAAUAAAGUAUUUUUAAAUCGUGGGUUAUCGAUUAUAUACCAAGACCCCCUAAUUGCCUUCUACACCGCCAUUUCAGUUGGUUUUUUUUUUAUUUUAAAUUUCCUUUUUUAUUUUACUA
Molecule: ribosomal RNA, 357 nt
Filed under: Neodicrothrix grandcaputus
Lineage: Eukaryota; Metazoa; Arthropoda; Arachnida; Trombidiformes; Eriophyidae
Description: partial small subunit ribosomal RNA
Source: RNAcentral